Molecule: unclassified non-coding RNA, 262 nt
Filed under: Ralstonia solanacearum
Lineage: Bacteria; Pseudomonadati; Pseudomonadota; Betaproteobacteria; Burkholderiales; Burkholderiaceae
Description: partial 16S-23S ribosomal RNA intergenic spacer
Rfam family: Bacterial small subunit ribosomal RNA
Source: RNAcentral
CUAACGCGUGAAGUUGACCGCCUGGGGAGUACGGUCGCAAGAUUAAAACUCAAAGGAAUUGACGGGGACCCGCACAAGCGGUGGAUGAUGUGGAUUAGCUUCGAGAGAUCGGUGAUUGCGUAAGGCAUUGCCUAGACGAGUAGUAACUCGGCUGUUCUUUAACUAUAUGGAUUGUAGUAAAGGUGUCGCGGCGCGUUGAUGACGCGCGCAAUUUAAACGGGACACUGCGUUGUGAUUGUAUCAACCAGUAUUACGAGUGAUC